RNAcentral lists this transfer RNA (72 nucleotides) under Loxodonta africana (African savanna elephant). It matches the Rfam family "tRNA". Rfam says of the family: Transfer RNA (tRNA) molecules are approximately 80 nucleotides in length. Their secondary structure includes four short double-helical elements and three loops (D, anti-codon, and T loops). Lineage: Eukaryota; Metazoa; Chordata; Mammalia; Proboscidea; Elephantidae. The record is from Rfam by way of RNAcentral.
GCAGCGGUGGUUUAGAGGUAGAAUUCUCCACCUUUGAUUACGGAGACCCAGGUUCAAUUCCUGGCCAGUGCU